AUGAACUGUUGAGCACCACAAGUCGCUAAGGUUAAAUUAGAUAAGGAAUAAGUCAUCUAACUAAAACUCACCCUUGGAAACUGGUUUGCAAGGAGAGUGUGCCUAAAGACUAAUUAAGCUCUCAGCAAUGUAGGAUCGUAACAAUACCCCAGGCUUGGAGAACCACCACUCCGAGUGUUGAGUCUCACGAGAUGGGACCGGCUCUGAUACCAAUUGAUAUGAAUCGUUGAGCAUCACAGUUGCUAUAGUUGAACCACAAGAGGAAUAGGCCACCUUGAUGUGAACUGUUGAACACCACAAGCCGCUAAGGUUAAAUCACAUGAGGAAUAGGCCACCUAGGUAAAAUUCAUCCUUGAAAUAGGCUUGCAAAGAGAGGUUGCCUAGGAACUUAUUAUGCUCUCACCAAGCUUGUCCCUUAGCAUUGUGGGAUCAUAACACUUAUCCUUUAAUGUUUAGAAUGAGAAACCAUUUGCGACACAUUCACUUGUAGACACCUAAAAUUUUGUGAUUAAUUGAAGUUAAAACUUUUCUGAUUCCAAGAAAGAUAAAAGCAGAAGAAUUGAAAAGGAGGAAGAUAAAAGUAGAGGAGGUUUACUCUUUUCCUUAAUAUAUAUACACACGCACACACUGAUGGAUUCCAUGUGUGUAUUUGAAUGUGUGGAUGUACUAACUUAAAUAUAUAUUUACUCUGUGAGGUUAUCCCACUAGGUUUUACCCUCUGUAUAGUUGUAGCACUCUUUGAUUUGUUUCACAAGUAUACUGUUUUUAGACCAGCCUUAGUUGAUGAACAUUUAAUAUAUUGUUCUUUGAAAUAUCAUUUAAUAUAUUCGUUUGAAUAAUAAGGUAGAAGAAAACAAUAUGGCAAGAAGUUGAGUUGAUUCAUUUAAUCAUGACUUCUUAUGGGUUCUCCAUAUGCUAAGUGGAAACGAGUAUCUGCAUUCUGCAUAUGACAAGUUCAUGGGUUCUCCACUAUCCUCGCUUCCUGUGUGAGCUAUCAUAUUCAUGGGAACCACCUUCAUGAUGAAUUAAUCCAAGAGAGCUAAGCCACAUAGGCAGCAUUUCAGCAUCAUGUUGGAUCUGUUAACAACUGAUUAAAAGAUUUUGCU
This 1106-nucleotide unclassified non-coding RNA is filed under the name Hevea brasiliensis (rubber tree). Lineage: Eukaryota; Viridiplantae; Streptophyta; Magnoliopsida; Malpighiales; Euphorbiaceae. The record is from RNAcentral.